AUAUCUCUCUGUACGGGAAGGAUGAGAAGCUUCGACUAAGGUUCGAUUCGAGCGCAGCGAGAAAGCGUUGCCGCAGGCAACGACCCGAAGGGCGAAGCGCGCAGCGCUGAGUCAUCCUUCCCCCACCAUCA
Molecule: small RNA, 131 nt
Filed under: Salmonella enterica
Lineage: Bacteria; Pseudomonadati; Pseudomonadota; Gammaproteobacteria; Enterobacterales; Enterobacteriaceae
Also listed under: 5 other names
Description: RtT sRNA
Rfam family: RtT RNA
About the family: This family represents a bacterial cis-regulatory element known as RtT RNA.
Source: RNAcentral